RNAcentral lists this ribosomal RNA (468 nucleotides) under uncultured bacterium. Its description in RNAcentral is "partial 16S ribosomal RNA". It matches the Rfam family "Bacterial small subunit ribosomal RNA", at positions 28 to 507 of the family's 1533-position model. The record is from RNAcentral.
GACGAACGCUGGCGGCGUGCUUAACACAUGCAAGUCGAACGGAAAGGCCCUGCUUUUGUGGGGUGCUCGAGUGGCGAACGGGUGAGUAACACGUGAGUAACCUGCCCUUGACUUUGGGAUAACUUCAGGAAACUGGGGCUAAUACCGGAUAGGAGCUCCUGCUGCAUGGUGGGGGUUGGAAAGUUUCGGCGGUUGGGGAUGGACUCGCGGCUUAUCCGCUUGUUGGUGGGGUAGUGGCUUACCAAGGCUUUGACGGGUAGCCGGCCUGAGAGGGUGACCGGCCACAUUGGGACUGCGAGACGGCGCAGUCUGCUACGGGAGGCAGCAGUGGGGAGUAUUGCACAAUGGGCGGAAGCCUGAUGCAGCAACGCCGCGUGCGGGAUGACGGCCUUCGGGUUGUAAACCGCUUUCGCCUGUGACGAAGCGGGAGUGACGGUAAUUGGUAAAGAAGCACCGGCUAACUACGUG